Molecule: non-coding RNA, 28 nt
Filed under: Cricetulus griseus (Chinese hamster)
Lineage: Eukaryota; Metazoa; Chordata; Mammalia; Rodentia; Cricetidae
Source: RNAcentral
GGGGUGGGUUGUGGCAUGUUUGGAGGUC